UAAAAUUGUAUCGCCUCAUAUUUUUAGCUUUUAAAAUUUUUUAGAGAAUGUAUGAGCACCUUUAGCACUUCCUUUAGUAAUUUCUUUAGGCAGAAAAAAAACCCGUGAGCUGUCAUUCUUUCGUGUGGUUAAUAGUUAUCCUUGCACACGAAGGAUACCACAGUUGGGCAGUUUUGUUGACGCCAGGCGAAUCUUUGUUUGCAGAAGGUGUCGUGCACGAACGAGGACGGCUGGUCUGUUGCCCUGGCCGAGUACAUCCGCCACAGCGACCAGCCCAUGCUGGAGUUGGGGGACAAGCUGCUCAGGAACUUCGAGGAGCAACUGCUGCCGUGCCAGUCGUUCGCAGAGUAUUGCGAUGUCAUGGGUCUGCUUUGUGAAAUUUCGAACCCAGAUGCCUUCCUGUCAGAGUCUCUUCAGCUAAGGGUUUAAUCUUAAUUUUAAUAUUGAAGGUUUAUUUAAUAAACACAUUGUUUGAACUUUUCUUGA
This is a long non-coding RNA of Ixodes scapularis (black-legged tick), 486 nucleotides long. RefSeq lists it as uncharacterized. NCBI's taxonomy places the organism in Eukaryota, Metazoa, Arthropoda, Arachnida, Ixodida, Ixodidae. The record is from RefSeq and is a predicted model, not a curated record. The transcript is spliced from 2 exons.